UUUUUUUUUUUUUUUUUGUGAGGGUAGGGAAAAAAUAAAAGGGGAACUGGAAGGAAAAGGGGACGGGAAUCAAUCCCCUGAAGAGAAAAGAUUUUUGCUCCUCCUCCUUCUCUUAGUUGCUCAUUUUCUGUUGCUGUCGUUGCCGUUUGUUUGACAGCUUCCUGGCUUCUGGAGGAGUGGUAAUGCUUCUUUCUUUCCGGUUUCCUGGUUAAUGUGCCCCUGCAUCCUGCCAACAGACUUUCGUCCUCAGGUUUGCAUGGAGACCUCGCGUUACUGUGGGUUGGCUUAGGUGUGUAGCUUAGCAGGGUGAUAAGGAACGUUUGUGUAGAGGUGGUGGUGGUGGUGGUGUUUGGAUUAAAACUGAGUCGCUUACAGAAAGCUUCCUCCACCCCUACCAAUGGUUUUGCAUUCAUUAAACCCCUACUGUUGGGAGGGGGAGGGAAUCUGUCUCUAGUCAGAAUGGAGUAGGCUAUUCCUUGCUAAAUGACCUCAAUUAUACAGAUGCGCGGUUUUGCUGCUGUGGAUGGCUUAGGUUUUCGGGUCCUGUGAGAAGUAGGCAUUGAAGUAGCACUGGUAGAUUUGUGGUUUGCAUUGCCCACCCCCCAGUAUUAGUCGAACAGUGUAGUCCUCUACAACCAAGUUCUGUUUAUUUUCUACAAAUGUUGCAUUUUUCAGUGAGUUGUGGUGCUAUGGAAUAACAUGGCAGUCGGUCUCUUGUUGAAAAGUAAAUGAUUUUGCUUUAGAAUAUCCUAUGAAGAAACUGCAGGAGACUUAAUACUUUAACACUAUGGUUGUGUAAUACUUGGAUGCUUUUUGCUAGUUCACAUUAUGGUUUUGUUUUGGGAAAUGUUGUAUACUCCAUAAUUCUGCAUAAGUGUAGUCUCAGAUCAGUUUAGUAAUUUUUUUUCUCCUGAAUGUGAAAUAUGGGUGACUGAGAAACCUAGAUCUAAAAAUUCUGUUUGAUUACCCAUGUGUGCUCUAGAAUGUUCCUUUAGAAGUGUUUUGUUUUGGUAUUUUUCAGGACUCCUACAUAAUUGUCUACCUGUGUUUCCUAGAAUUAAAGUUGUGGAUGAGAAGGUUAAAAUUAAAAAAAAAAAAAAAGCUAUUUAAGCACAACAUUGAUUCUAACUUUGAAAUAUCAUGUGCAUAAUGAUCCUUCUGGACUAAAGCAAUAUUAGACAAAAAUGUUGGACUCUCCAGAAAGCUACUUCAGGAAUAUGUUAAAUACUUGCAUGGAAACUUUAAGCUAGAUAUGAUCUGUAAAGUGGAUGUACAUUUUGAAAAACACUGCAAAUGUAAUGAGAACUUGCAAGAAUGUGGUUGGUAAAAUAUUCCUGGGGUUUUUAUAUGUGUAUAUAUAACUCUUCAUUCUUUUAUAUUGGGAGAGUGGUCUGACUGGUAUGUAGUUUGAGACAGAGAUACUAAAUAGAAGCCUUUAUCAUCAGUAUUUGGUGAUACAAUGGAUUUCAGAAUGUUUAUAUUCUUAAAUGUCCUGUGGUUUAAACGGUUUCUCUUUUGAUAUCACUAGUAAAAAGGCUUGAGUAACAGUUCAAACUACCCCUUUGUGUUCUGAUAAGUACUGUAUCAGGUUUGAAGGGAGGCCAGAGAAAACUGAUUUAGGAAUGUCAGAAUGUAUGAAAUAAAUCAACAGCUAGAAAGACACUGCCCAAUUCCAGAAUCUGUUACUUGGUACAAGUAUUGGAGUCCUGUCUCAAGGGUAAACUUAAAAAUCUGUCUUUGAAUAAAAUUAUUAGGAAGAUGAAAGCAGACAGAUUAAAAAAAAAUGGAAUUCUUAUGUGUUUUCUUUAAUAAUAAUAAAAAAGGGGUGAAUAAAGGUAGAGAAGGGACCUAAAUAAGCGUGUGGGAGAGUGGUGAGCUCAAGACUUACCUGUUCUGGUUAGCUUUUGGCAACCAGUGAUGUAGCAAUGACUGCCUCUUACCCAGCUUAUAGUUAGGCAAUGUGGAGUCAGCUGGGGAAAGUGUUGAGGAGAUUUGGGUGAGAACUGGAGGUAUCGAUGGUGGGUAUGUCUGUGUUACUAUGAUCAAGGACAGCAAAGGCACAAAUGCAAAGGAAACCAGGCUCUGUUAGUUUUAGCACAAGUUAGUUCCCUCCCACUAUUAACUAUUUUACGUUUUAACCUUGUGGCUAACGCUAACAUUAACACUGACAAUAUGUAAAAAUGCUUAUUUUAGUGGCAGUAACUACCAUUAUUAGGUGAAAUCGAGGGUGUAUUUGCUUUGUGAAUAGCAUAGUAUGUUGGGGAAUGUGUGCUUGUGCAGUAGGUGUUUAAGAGCAAUUUUUUUCAAAUUAUUGUAAUAAAGAUUUAACUACU
This is a long non-coding RNA of Falco peregrinus (peregrine falcon), 2333 nucleotides long. RefSeq lists it as uncharacterized. NCBI's taxonomy places the organism in Eukaryota, Metazoa, Chordata, Aves, Falconiformes, Falconidae. The transcript has 2 exons. The record is from RefSeq and is a predicted model, not a curated record.